Passer domesticus (house sparrow) is the source of this 1031-nucleotide long non-coding RNA. RefSeq lists it as uncharacterized. Lineage: Eukaryota; Metazoa; Chordata; Aves; Passeriformes; Passeridae. The transcript has 3 exons. The record is from RefSeq and is a predicted model, not a curated record.
UUCACUGUAAAAUGAAUUCAUUUCAACAAAACCUUUUUUGAUAAAUUAAACCAGCACCGCUCUGUAUAUAAUUUCUAUAAACAAUCUUCUCUAGUGUUUACCUAACCUGGGCAUGCAGAAACUCUUGCACGUUAAAUAUUAGAUGAAAAGAGGCUAUGAAACUUUUAAAUAAUUCCUUUUUUUUCCUUUUCAAAGCAAGAAAGGCAGAAUACCAUGGGAAAAUGCUCUGCUGCUGUUGAGCUGAGGUUUUUCUGCCUUCUGCCAAGAGUGAAGGGAGACAAACCCCUCAUGCUGCCACGGCUUUGUGUAGAUUUUUGUGUUUCCAGGGCUGUAGCACGAGGUUCACUGGACUCACAGGGUGCCAGCACCCAUCCCCACCCCCCCUGUGCAGCUGGUGAUGUGAUGAUUUAUCUCCUGUGUGAUAUUUGCAGGGUCCUGGGAAGUUUGUCAUUCAUAAUUUGUGAAUUUACCACAGAGCAUUCAUUAAUUCAUUAAUUAAAUUCAUUAAUUCAUUAAUUCACUAAUUAAAUACAACCCCACAGCAGGUGUUGGCUGGGGAGAGCUGGGCACUGUUGGCAUUGAAGUGCCGUGGUGGUUCAGGCUGUGCUGGGUCAUUUGCUGAGAGAUUUGGAAGUUUUCCCUUGACCUGCCAGACUCCAGAGCACCCUGGAAAGAUGGACUUGACUUCGCAGAAGGAAGGCGGCUCCUUCAUUUUUUGCUCCUGCUCCUGCACAAAGCCCAGCCUGGACACAGCAACAUUUUCCAGCUUGGCUCCUUGAGGUCAGGUCCCUCCAUUGGCUCACCUCCUUCUUGGGCUGGGCUCUUGCAGAACUCCUGGAGCUGCUGCAUGGCACAGAGACUGCCCAAAGCAAGGCUCAACCCUCCCCACACAGAUCCUCUGCUGUGGUCGCUGCAGGAUGCAAGAACCUGAAGUUUUCCCACUUUUGCCCUCGUGGUGGGAAUGUCUCCUCCUGCUCUGUGCUCCAGCAGGUGCCUGACACCCUGCUGGCCUUGGCUUUGGGGAUAAAUCU